RNAcentral lists this ribosomal RNA (241 nucleotides) under uncultured bacterium. RNAcentral describes it as "partial 16S ribosomal RNA". It matches the Rfam family "Bacterial small subunit ribosomal RNA", at positions 15 to 248 of the family's 1533-position model. The record is from RNAcentral.
GAUCCUGGCUCAGGAUGAACGCUAGCUACAGGCUUAACACAUGCAAGUCGAGGGGCAUCAGGAAGAAAGCUUGCUUUCUUUGCUGGCGACCGGCGCACGGGUGAGUAACACGUAUCCAACCUGCCGAUGACUCGGGGAUAGCCUUUCGAAAGAAAGAUUAAUACCCGAUGGUAUAUCUGAAAGGCAUCUUUCAGCUAUUAAAGAAUUUCGGUCAUUGAUGGGGAUGCGUUCCAUUAGGUUG